AAAACAACCAAUGAAAUAAUUAUAGAACCCCGUCAUUAUACAACCCCAAGUAAUUGUGCAGCUCAGUGCUCUCUCACUGUGUAACGUAACACAGGCAAAUGAUUCUCUUGCUGCAAGCUUUUUGUUGACAUGCUAUCCCGUUAAUAAGAGAACUCAUGCCCUCGAAGUGAAAUGUACUUCUUGACCCAGAUGGCAAUGUCCUCAGCACAAGCCUGAGCCUGUGGGGUCUUCAGAAGCAUGUCAAGAGUUGC
Molecule: unclassified non-coding RNA, 251 nt
Filed under: Hevea brasiliensis (rubber tree)
Lineage: Eukaryota; Viridiplantae; Streptophyta; Magnoliopsida; Malpighiales; Euphorbiaceae
Source: RNAcentral